This 1180-nucleotide unclassified non-coding RNA is filed under the name Hevea brasiliensis (rubber tree). The record is from RNAcentral. Lineage: Eukaryota; Viridiplantae; Streptophyta; Magnoliopsida; Malpighiales; Euphorbiaceae.
UGAAAUUGUAGCAGAAUAUUAUAAUUUUUAUUGAUUCAAUGAAAUAAGACUGAUUCAAUCAACAAUACAACCUCCUUCUAUAUUAUCUUAACUCAAGGGAAAAAAGAGAAACCAAAGAUAAGGAAACUGGUUGAUCACACCCCACCACAACCCAUCACGCCGGCACACCCCCCCAACCCCCCACUUUCUCCCUCUCCCUCUCUCCCGUGUAGAAAAACCCUGCCCCAAAAAAAACAUGCCUUUCCCGUGUAACAAAUUCUAUCCACAUGUCAAUCUCUCCUUUGCUAGCUCUAACAGCCACAUGCCAUUCUUCUUUUUCUAGUAAUGCACUGCUAGCUCCCUCCAUCCCCUUGCUUCUUCUAGAAUAAACCUUGAAAGUUCCAGGACCACUAUCAAAAAAUUUUAGAAGUUCAUGACGAAGUCAAAGCAAACUUGACAUCCUCAUUGGUGUUCAUUAGUAGUAGGGGCUAUCGUAGUUGAUUGCCUAAUUUUACCACAAUAAGAAUUAUUGCUGGCAUUAUUAGCAAGUAAAACAGUGUCGUCUCCAAUUUGGCCACCAUUCGAAAUAUAGGUAUUGCCUUCAUUCUGCCAAAACCAAUGAUAUUAAAAAGUUCUGAACAAGAAGUAGGAAAAAAAUUUAGAUGCUGAAGUAAUCAAGAAAGAACUCCAAAACAAGAAAAAUUAAAUAAUUUAAACGUGCAAGAUCAACUAAGCCUUCCAACAAGAAUAAACCCAUCAAUUUUCUAUCCAUUCCACAACCAUAAGAAAUUGUUAUGAACGCAGGAGAUGGAUCAGAGUAUGAACCAGGACAUCUCAGAGUUUAUUACAGAAAAAAGAAAUAAGGAUAACAAGCAAGCCAUCUGUUGGGGGAUCAGGAAAAGGCCAAUCUUCUUCAUGGCAAUCAGGUUGUUACAGAAGAUAUGAAUAAGUUAGUUGCAGCAGAGGAUAGUGCAGUAGAUAAAGAUAAACAAGCCAAGAAUGCCAGAGCCUAUAAAUAGAGAGAGAGGGAAAUGGAGAGGAUGUCUCGAGUAUUUUGUAGUUUUGGCCAUUAGGGGUGAGCACUAUUUGGUUUAAACCAAAAAACCGAACCGAACUGCCUUAAUUUGAUAAUUCAGUUUAGUUUUUUAUGUAACUUGGUUCGGUUCGGUUUUGUUUUUUAAAAAUUUCGGUUAUUUCGGUU